CAGACAGUACCGAUGAAGGAACGUGUGGGGCCGCGAUAGUUCUGGGGGAGCCGCCGACAAUGGCUUUGAUCCCAGGGUGUCCGAAUG
Molecule: ribosomal RNA, 87 nt
Filed under: Bifidobacterium animalis
Lineage: Bacteria; Bacillati; Actinomycetota; Actinomycetes; Bifidobacteriales; Bifidobacteriaceae
Description: partial 23S ribosomal RNA
Source: RNAcentral